CCUUACUGCUCAGUAACACGUGGAUAACCUGCCCUUGGGUCCGGCAUAACCCCGGGAAACUGGGGAUAAUUCCGGAUAACGCACAUAUGCUGGAAUGCUUUAUGCGUAAAAUGGAUUCGUCUGCCCAAGGAUGGGUCUGCGGCCUAUCAGGUAGUAGUGGGUGUAAUGUACCUACUAGCCUACAACGGGUACGGGUUGUGAGAGCAAGAGCCCGGAGAUGGAUUCUGAGACAUGAAUCCAGGCCCUACGGGGCGCAGCAGGCGCGAAAACUUUACAUUGCGGGAAACCGUGAUAAGGGGACACCGAGUGCUAGCAUCAUAUGCUGGCUGUCCAGGUGUGUAAAAUACACCUGUUAGCAAGGGCCGGGCAAGACCGGUGCCAGCCGCCGCGGUAACACCGGCGGCCCGAGUGGUGAUCGUGAUUAUUGGGUCUAAAGGGUCCGUAGCCGGUUUGGUCAGUCCUCCGGGAAAUCUGACAGCUCAACUGUUAGGCUUUCGGGGGAUACUGCCAGACUUGGAACCGGGAGAGGUAAGAGGUACUACAGGGGUAGGAGUGAAAUCUUGUAAUCCCUGUGGGACCACCUGUGGCGAAGGCGUCUUACCAGAACGGGUUCGACGGUGAGGGACGAAAGCUGGGGGCACGAACCGGAUUAGAUACCCGGGUAGUCCCAGCCGUAAACGAUGCUCGCUAGGUGUCAGGCAUGGCGCGACCGUGUCUGGUGCCGCAGGGAAGCCGUGAAGCGAGCCACCUGGGAAGUACGGCCGCAAGGCUGAAACUUAAAGGAAUUGGCGGGGGAGCAC
This 800-nucleotide ribosomal RNA is filed under the name uncultured archaeon. Its description in RNAcentral is "bacterial SSU rRNA". It matches the Rfam family "Archaeal small subunit ribosomal RNA", at positions 81 to 879 of the family's 1478-position model. The record is from RNAcentral.